Molecule: long non-coding RNA, 1448 nt
Organism: Brachypodium distachyon (stiff brome)
Lineage: Eukaryota; Viridiplantae; Streptophyta; Magnoliopsida; Poales; Poaceae
Exons: 5
Source: RefSeq, a predicted model, not a curated record
CUGGUGGGCCAUGUACACGGGCAGUGCAGUGGUAAGAGAAAGAAAUAUCUGCCCUGUCUUCUUCCUCGCACUCCCCUCAAUGCCGACGACCCAUCUCUCCUCGCCGCUCCCCCCCGGCUACACCGGCGUCACCUCGAUUAACAUUUCUCUCCAAUGAAUCGACCUGGUGUGUUCCAAGUUCGUCAGUCCUUGCAGGGUGCUCAGGCGGCGAAGUAGUACAUUCGAGGCACGAGUAGUGCCUGAGCGAGGGCCUCCUCGGCAAUGGUUGGAGGCUCGAGUUUGGUACUCUUCAUCGGAUGAAAUGUGGGAACUCGGACAGGUUCAAUCAACAAUCAAUUUCUAGAGAUGGAGAUGAAAUACUCCUGGCUAAUGCAGAAGUUUUGACGCUGUCACAAGAAAGACUAUUGCCUGUUAACCCUGAUAUUCUAGAUGGGGUUGAUGAUUUCAUCCAGAUGAGCUACUUGAAUGCACCUUCUGUCCUUUACCAUCUGCAAUUUCGAUACCCUUGUGAUUUUAUCUAUGCAAUACAUGCAGCAGCUCAAGAAUGAUCCACAUGUAUGCAAUUGCUGAUUUGGCUUUUAAUGAAAUGCUAACUGUGGUGAAAGUGGUGCAGGAAAAACCAAAACAACUAAAAUUGCUGUGCAAUAUUUGGCUCUCUAGGGGGUGCUAACGGAAUGGAGUCUGAGGUCUACAAACCAAUGUAAUUUUGGAAGCUUUAGGGAAUGCGAAAACAUCAAGAAAUGAAAACUCGAGCCGGUUCGAGAGUUCAUGUUCAUUUAAAAUUGUUGUCUUAUUGUCCAGCUCUCCAAUAUCAUUCUUAAAUAAUUCUUGUGAGACCUUGAUGGUUUUGAUGUAGAUGUAGGGAAAGCUCACUGAAAUAGUGAAAUGCACUUUUCUGAAACUGAGAAGAUUUGUGGUGCUAAAAUCCAAACAUCUAAGCCUUAUGUGAUGUUUAUUGUUUACUUAGGUAGAUGAUAUUGAUGAACUUCCUGAUAACUUGUUUAUUUGGGCGACAAUGUUAUCAUACCCUUAAUAUACUUUUUCUUUUGGAUAAAGGUCGCUAGAAACAGAGUAACGAGAUGCAAUAGAUGAUAGCAAAUUUCCUUUGCAAUUUCAGAACUUACUCAUGUGGUUAAUUAGAUGUUCUUUUUUUAGAAUUGAUUGACAUGUGCACAUCCAACUGUAUUAAAACGUGAAAACUUAAAGGCUAUGAACCAGAGGUGUGAAGACCUCCGAUGAAAGAAACCUAGUAUAAAAGAAGAGGAAAUAGAACGACUUGCUAGGAGUGGAUAACCAUCUAAGUUACCUCAAGAAUUAUCACCGUUGAUUCGCAACACUCGCUUCAUAAAACUGCAAGAUUUUGAUGAUAUAUCAUAAACACAAACACCAAAUAGUACAUUUACUCAAUCAUUUGAUUUUUAAGACUAUUUACUUUUCAGUAGCCAUGA